UAAGUGUGAUCCUCUCCUCCGGCUUCACCCUGAACAUCUGGGAUGUCCUGUGGUAUUUCCGACAGCAGCAGCUCCUUCGCUCAAACAAUUGAAUAGAAGGAAGCGCUGCUGGCUGACUUUUUCCUCCCUCAGAGACGCACUUCCUCCAGCCCUUCAGUCGAGCUCGAGCGAGGCCGGAGGACGCAGGAGGAACAUGGAGGUCCCGCUCCUACUUUUCUUUCUGCUCUGGAGAUCCAGCUGUGCGUACACAUCUCCAGCCACCUCCACCUUUUCUUCAUCCACACCGCUGGACCUGUCUAACUCCACCCAAACCAUCAGGAGUCCUGGGAACGCUGUCACGGAAAAUCUGUCACCUCCAGAUGUUUCCCCUGCAGUCACCCACCUAUCCCCUUUAAAUGGCACAGCUGCUUUUACCAUGGACCAGUCAGUCGCCUCGGAGACCUUGUCAGGUGGAGGUGACUCCCUAGUCAGGACGGAGGUGGUCACGUCGUUGUACGAGUCAUCGUCCUCCAUCGCUAGAAACCAGUCCGAGUCGAGCGGAGAUGGAGGCGUGACGCUGGGUUCCUCACGUGUGAGCACAGGUGGAGCAACAGACAUCAUAACUGAGCUACAACCCAAGGACGGAUCCACACACCAAACAUCUGCAGCACCCUCAGACAGCACCGCCUCAGCUGCACCCACCACCACCACUCCUCCACCGUCUGCAUCCAGCACCAGCACAUAUAGACCACCCAGGUCUCACAGCCAGACCCCGCCCACAGACACAGACUACACCCUUCAUCCAAACAUCUCAGAGAGUCUGACUCCAGGAGUAUUAUCAACAGCACCAACAGGUGAUGCGGUCCCUGCAAGUAGCACCUCAGCUCCAUCAGUCCCACAAACGAGUACAACAAACACCAGCACCACUGCUGCUGUAACCACACCCUCUACGAGCAGCAUAACAGCGCCUGCUCCAACCACAGCCACCAAAACCACACCUCCUACAGCCACCAGUAGCACCACCCCUGUCACAACUGCAGAGACUACAGUCGCACCAUCAAUAACAACACCAGCAGCUACACACACAACCAUCCCUUUGCCAGCUACAACAGCCAGCUUGACACACACCAUCCAACCCUCCACUCGUGCCUCCACUCCCGCUACAACUACAGCAACCACAGCCACGAACCCGUCUCUAACCACAGCCGUCGAUACCACACCUGCCACUGCCAGUUCCACCACAACCACAGAGACUGCAGCCACACUAUCCAUAACAACACCAGCAACUACACCUACAUCCAUGGCACCAUCUCAUACCACAGUCACCAAAACCACACCACCCACCACUCCCAGUGAUAGUUUCCCAGCUACAACUGCAGAUAGUAGAACCACCAUGAGAUUCAUAACAAUCUCCGCUACAACCACUCCACCUACGACCGCAACAGCAUCUCCUGCUACAACCACCCCACCUACGACUGUAACAGCACCUCCUGCUACAACCACCCCACCUACGACCGCAACAGCAUCUCCCGCUACAACCACCCCACCUACGACCGCAACAGCAUCUCCC
Astatotilapia calliptera (eastern happy) is the source of this 1549-nucleotide long non-coding RNA. NCBI's taxonomy places the organism in Eukaryota, Metazoa, Chordata, Actinopteri, Cichliformes, Cichlidae. The record is from Ensembl.